CAAUUAGCGGUAAAUACAACAUAUUCUUAAGUAAAUAAGAAUAUAGAUAAAAAUAACAAAUAAGAGAAAAUAUUAGGAUGUUAUUAUAUAUAAUAUCCUUUUCCCUUUUCUUCUUAUUGUUUUUUUAUUCUAUUUCUUUUUUUACAUAAGAAUGUAUUUACUUGAUUGUAAAGCUUCUUAGAGGGACAUUGUGUGUCUAACACAAGGAAGUUUAAGGCAACAACAGGUCUGUGAUGUCCUUAGAUGAACUAGGCUGCACGCGUGCUACACUGAUAUAUAUAACGAGUUAUUAAAAGUAUAUCUUUGCAUAUAUAUAUUCUGUAUAUAUAUACAAAAGAUAUAAUUUUCCUCCACUGAAAAGUGUAGGUAAUCUUUAUCAAUAUAUAUCGUGAUGGGGAUAGAUUAUUGCAAUUAUUAAUCUUGAACGAGGAAUGCCUAGUAAGCAUGAUUCAUCAGAUUGU
RNAcentral lists this ribosomal RNA (461 nucleotides) under Plasmodium sp. ex Foulehaio carunculata. RNAcentral describes it as "bacterial SSU rRNA". It matches the Rfam family "Eukaryotic small subunit ribosomal RNA", at positions 1352 to 1639 of the family's 1831-position model. Lineage: Eukaryota; Apicomplexa; Aconoidasida; Haemosporida; Plasmodiidae. The record is from RNAcentral.